AACCUAUCCUGGUCUCUGACGUCAGGACGCAAUCCCCCACGUAGUAAAAUGUGGAGAGCUCGGGCAAACGCUUUUUUGCGAGGUCGAGGCUCAAUACGGAGGUCUGCAUGCAGCGUUUCAAUCGCGGACAAGGAAAUGGGACUCCAGCGCGAUGCCCGGGAUGAAGAUUGCGCGAUUUAAUGAACAGAUUCCAAUCAAGGCUUGAUAAAACACAAGCGGGGAUGCAUCUACUUAACCCCACGCAAAGCAACGUGACCCAGAACCUAGUUCCCAACACUCGUCUUGCAGUGGCUCUUCAGAGCACAGAAGCGCCUUUACUGUGUUCCAAGCACUCUCUUUCUGGCUCCUGGAUUCGCCUGUUCUUUCCAUUUGCAGGGGAGUAAACCAAUCUUGUUUUUUUGUUCUCUUGCUUCGACGCUGGGUCUGCAUUACUAGGUGGCAACUAUAGCAGACUCUCGUUUGGUCUUAAUGCUUUCUGCCGUUUCUCUAUAGCUCCAACGCUUUUGAUGCAAGCGUGUGGUACCUAAGCGACCAUCAAGGAUGCAGAUGUAUAUAUAUUUUUUGUUCGUCCCCUCUAUCAUCCUCGUGCCAGCGCAACACUUGGGCACGGGUGAUUCUACCACCAGAUUCUGGAACGGUGACACAGGCGCCAGCUGUGCUCCAGCAUUCUCAACAAAAAUGUAUUAGAACUGAACGCAUAAGGAAAGCUAUUCUGUAGAUUCGGCUCUGCGUUGUUUGUUGUUGUUGUUGUUGUUGUUGUUGUUGUCGCAGCUGCUGUUUUUUGUAGUUUCUUUUGUUUUUCCGGUGCACUAAAAAAAAAAAAAAAAAAAAAAAAAAAGUUUGGAUAUCGCUGUCACAAAUAAAAACCCUAAAAUAAAAUUUUGAAAAAAGAUCCACGAAAACGAGACAGCGCUCGUAAUUGCCAGACUCCAGAGCUGCGCUGAAUAGGCAACAGCUGCCGAAGGGAAGCACCGUCUUGGCGGGAUGAGGACGUCAUUCACCCGAGGGUUCGUGAGGAAAAAAACCCAACCUCCAAAGCACAGACAAGCGGUCGUUUUAACAAGACAACUCUGACAAGAAGCGCAAUGAGUUCCACCAGAGGUUGGGAGAGAACCACCCUGCACCCUAGGACUUGGAUAGAUGGGCCCUGAAGGGCCACAAACAAGCCAGCCCAAGCUUGAGGAAUCCUUGGGGAUGUGGGGAUGGCUUCUGUUACAGACAAUUAGCAGUUCAAAGCGGUAGCCACUAUAGAGGAGGAAGAUGAGGAGGAGGAGGAGGAGGAGGAGGAUACAGCUGAACCCAGCUGCUCAUUGCCACAGGCUCUUCAUCCCUCACCAUCUCCCUGAGAAGACAGGGCUACGUACAUGCUCGGCCCCGGAGUGGGUAGGCAGGCUCCAGAGCCCCGCGGCUCCCCAUAUAUACAAGCCUCCUCAGCGAAAUCAAUACGCAGAAUACACAGCAGGGUCACACCACUCAGCCCUCAACGCCUCACACAGGGAGCCCACAGCACACGCACUGGAGCAGUCAGGUCCAGACUAUACAGGGCAGCAACACAACCUCGGCUUGCAGGGGUGCACUGUUGAGUUUUGCCGAUGGGAGUGGAGACGUUCUACUUUCUAACCUGUAGAUCAUCUCUAAAAGUUACAUACAUACAUAAAAAAAACACAAGAAGCCUUUAGCUUCAGCACAGAAGAAGCAGUUUUGAGAAUGGCAGAUCACAAUAAAGAAACAAAAGUCCAAUGUAACACGUACACAUGUACACAGCACACAACGACUGCCAUGCUGCGCCAUUACAGCGCUACAGAGGUGGGAAGCCAACACAUGCACGUCCAUGAAAAUCACAGACCUCACUCCAGUGCCAGAGCCAUCAGACUUUCACUUUCCUUCAAUGUGACAGUCUGGCAUUUCAGGGGGGUACAUCUGUCCAUUCCUACCAACCAACAUUUAAGUUAUUUGAUUAAAUCAGUGCAGACUCUGGGACACCCAAAAAAUAAAAAAACAGGACUCUUCUUACCUCUAAAAAUAAGAUGCAGCAGUUCCUCUAAUUCAGAGCAGAGCUGUUGGAUUUGCGAUGGGAUCAACUGCACUAGUUCCCUAACUUGAAACACUUGAUAAAGUGACUGCUGGGGUGAACGGAGUUAUCUUUCUCCAGGAAGACACAGCCACAUUCCCAGCCUUGGCUAUCCAAGGAUUGAUCCAGCACCCUGUGAACAUCACCAGCAAAGUGAUCGGACCUGGAACUGGUUUGACUGGAUCGGAAUGUCCUCUUUCAAAACGGUAAUAAAACACUGCCCAGAUGUGCAGAAUAUAAACACGCUGACAGGAUGAAAUAGAACACGAAAGCUCCACGUUCCUAGCUCUAGAACCCCCCACUGCGCAGCGCUAGCAUGGGCACUGAGAGGGUGAGAUAUCAAGACAUGCCAACAUCAGCAGGAGUAGGUCUGGAAAUGUGUUGGGACUGAUUGAAGACCUGGGCAGCAAUAGGUGAGGUUUUCUGCACAGGUGCUCCUGCUGUCGAUUAAGAUGAAGUCAUCGUCUGUUUAUAACGGGAGUGUAAGUAUUCACAGGUGAGUUUCACAUGAUCUGUGUGCUAUUUAAACAUAUUUCACAAGGAAAAAAAAAUCAGCUUAAAUAUGAAUUGUGUAUUUCUUUUGUAUCCAUCAUACUGAUCUUAAUAACCUAUUUUAUAAGAUUUAGUCACGUGUUUGUUUCAGCUGCAGUGUUUGCUAUUGUGUUAUAACCCUGGUUUAAGUUUCAUUUAGGGUAAUGGCAUUUUAAAAAGUUCCAUUUUGCUCUUUGUUAUCCCUCAAGCAAAGUUAAGGUGUUUUUGCAUGUA
Molecule: long non-coding RNA, 2836 nt
Organism: Polyodon spathula (Mississippi paddlefish)
Lineage: Eukaryota; Metazoa; Chordata; Actinopteri; Acipenseriformes; Polyodontidae
Exons: 6
Source: RefSeq, a predicted model, not a curated record